Coprinopsis cinerea okayama7#130 is the source of this 142-nucleotide non-coding RNA. The record is from the annotation of a RefSeq genome assembly. Lineage: Eukaryota; Fungi; Basidiomycota; Agaricomycetes; Agaricales; Psathyrellaceae.
GGGUCGAUGGCGUAGUUGGUUAUCGCAUCUGUCUAACAACCACCCCCUUCUUGCCAGCGCUGGCUUGCCUUGUACGAGGUACUGCUGUUGGCAGAUGGGUGUGGUCCACAGAAGGUCGCCAGUUCGAACCUGGCUCGACUCA